GGCGAUGUAGCUCAGUUGGUAGAGUGCUUGCCUCGUAUGCAUGCAGCCCAGGUUUAACCCCUAGCACUCUA
RNAcentral lists this transfer RNA (71 nucleotides) under Mesocricetus auratus (golden hamster). It matches the Rfam family "tRNA". Rfam says of the family: Transfer RNA (tRNA) molecules are approximately 80 nucleotides in length. Their secondary structure includes four short double-helical elements and three loops (D, anti-codon, and T loops). The record is from Rfam by way of RNAcentral. Lineage: Eukaryota; Metazoa; Chordata; Mammalia; Rodentia; Cricetidae.